GACGAACGCUGGCGGCGUGCUUAACACAUGCAAGUCGAACGGAAAGGCCCUGCUUGCAGGGUGCUCGAGUGGCGAACGGGUGAGUAACACGUGGGUGAUCUGCCCCUUACGUGGGGAUAAGCCUGGGAAACUGGGCCUAAUACUGGAUAGGACCAUGCUGUAGGUGGUGUGGUGGAAAGAUUAGUUUCGGUAAGGGAUGAGCUCGCGGCCUAUCAGCUUGUUGGUGGGGUAAUGGCCUACCAAGGCGUCGACGGGUAGCCGGCCUGAGAGGGUGGACGGCCACAUUGGGACUGAGAUACGACCCAGACUCCUACGGGAGGCAGCAGUGGGGAAUAGUGCACAAUGGGCGCAAGCCUGAUGCAGCGACGCCGCGUGGGGGAUGACGGACUUCGGGUUGUAAGCUCCGUGCAGCCAUGACGAAGCUCUUGUGGUGACGUUAGUGGUAGAAGAAGCACCGGCUAACUACGUG
Molecule: ribosomal RNA, 469 nt
Filed under: uncultured bacterium
Lineage: Bacteria
Description: partial 16S ribosomal RNA
Rfam family: Bacterial small subunit ribosomal RNA
Source: RNAcentral